RNAcentral lists this long non-coding RNA (639 nucleotides) under Elaeis guineensis (African oil palm). Its description in RNAcentral is "long non-coding RNA (EGUI_LNC048054)". The record is from RNAcentral. Lineage: Eukaryota; Viridiplantae; Streptophyta; Magnoliopsida; Arecales; Arecaceae.
UCGUGUAAUUGUAUGUAUAUAUGCACCUAACCAUGUACUACAUGCGUAUAAAUACAAAUAUGCAUAUAUACAUAUAAACAUAUGCACAUACAUAUAUCCAUGUCCACAUAUUGAAUCACAUUCUUCAUGUCACCUGAGCAUUUGACAACCGUGUCCUGUUGUUGCCAUUCCCUGGCAGGUUUUACCAUUCACCCUUCUCCCCAGUUCUUUAAUUUCCUGGUAAUACAAGAUCAUAUUGCAGAUUAAAAUUGCCCUAUGAUUACCGAUCACCAGUCCACAAAUCUCUUUUCCCUUUACUUUGCCGCUCUAACAUAAGCUGUUUGCUUUUUCCUUUCAUGUCUGUUUGCACAGACAUGGAACAAGAUCUGCUGCAGCUUUUCAUUCUUUUCAAUAUAGAUGAUUUUUAAGCCCUAAUCAUCAACUUUGUGCUCCAGUACCCUAGUCUAUGAAUGCCAUAAAUCUUCUUUAACAGUAAAGCUUUGAAGAGCAUCCAAAACUCUUAGUUCCUCGAAUCUCACCUGAUAUCAGAUAUAAUCUGCUGUAGCAAAUAACACUAGUUGAUACUGUUGAUUCCUCUCCAUCUAUAAUUUCCAAGCCCUAAAGACCCUAUUGAAGAACAAGAUAAAAAUAUCCAUUUCG